CCCCCCGCCCCAAAAAAUACAAAAUAAAAACACCCCACAAACACACCCUCCCCCGCAACCUUGGUCCAACCUUGGUCACUGGUCUCCUCUGGUUGAGAGUUGUUAGAAGAGGCCCUCUCUCUACUUUUCAUCUGGCACACAGUAGAUCAUCCUCACUUUUUUUGUUUUUGUUGAUUUGCUUUGUUUCUUUGUCAAAAGCCAGAAUCCACUGUCUCUCUCUCAAACUCUACUCUCUACCACUACCACUCUCGCACCUACCUUCUAUCUACUCUGUGUCCUUCCUUCUGUCUCUUACACCUAAUACACUUAUGGGUGUCUAAAUUUCACUUCAUCACAAGUCGUCAUUCGGUUCUUAUGGACAACAGCGAAUUGGGGUGAGCAAGAGGGGAGAGAGUAACAAAUCUGACAUGUAGGUGUCAGAACUGUUUUGAUUUGACACGCAAUUGGAAGGGAUAUGACUCCAUCGACAUGACACACACAGCAUUCAUACUGAACCAGAACUACAACCUUUUGCAAGAGCGAGUCAGCUGUGUAUGCAUUAGUGUUGCUUUUCUCGCUGUCCUGUUCUGACAGAGAUUGCAAUGCCUCAUGGUCGCCAGUGGGUGGCAGCAUGGACGUGGUCUGAUCCAGCUUCAUACCUAAUUGGCUCCUUGUCUUUGGUGCACUCUUGUUGUCGGAUGCCUAUUGGUCCACUAUAACAGACAUAUUUCUCCAUCAGAACCACACCAUGUAGCACUUUAGAUGGCCAUGACUUGCUUGGUGAUGAUGGACUGAGUAUGUUACAUAUGACUGUCUUAAGGGCUCCGUGAACGUUUGAGAUUCAAGGCCAUGUUUCUUUCUUGAAGGGCCUGGUGGCUACUGUGCUAGCCAGGAAUGAGCACUGCAUGUGGCAAAAUUCACGUUAGCAAGUCAACUGAAUGUUAAAGAACAUAAUCAUGAAUUAUGUCAUAGAAGCCCCAAGAAGGUUUGUGAAGGUGAACAUCCAUUGUAAUACUGUUUUGUUUCGCCUGUACAGGCCAGCAUAAUAAGAUGACUUAAAGCUAACUGAUUCCAUUCGAUGGGGAAAGAGUGUUGUGUAACGCAUGGUGCAUUGUUUGCUUCAGUUGUUGUACAUCUCUCCAUCCUUGUGUGCCUCAGUAGAGUGCAAGAAAAAGACAAAAAAAAAAUCUUAUUUUGUAAAAACAAUAAAAAAGGAGCUAAGUCAUAAGACAAACAGACCUAACGCAUGUCCAUAAAAGAUUUAACAUACAUUUAAGCCUGUAUCAUUAUUUUAGUGAGCGAUACAAAUCCUCUAAGUGCUAUUACAGUCUUUGAGAAAGAGGGUCUGCAGAAUAACUCAAAACAGCUUUGUCCUUCAUUCAGUGUCUUUUUGGUGUGCCUGGCUCAUAUUUUAUUUCAGAACAUAAAAUCCAUAACUGUUUAAAGGUGUGGUUCUGAUUAAAUAGGUUCUAUAAUAGGUUCAGGAGUCACUGUAGCACUGUGUAACGGCUAAGUAACGGCUCCUCUGGUUGUAAAAGACACUUUCUGUGCGCAAUGCUAUAUGUGGUGUUCUCAUAGGGCCUCUAUCUUCAUGUGCUUAAAGAGAAACAUUAGAAAUCACGCCAUGUGCUGUUUAUAACCAUCUGUAAUUAUCCUCAGUCACAAGAUAGAACGUGUUACUGAUUGCUUUCCCCCAUCCACCCACCCUUGUCAAAUAUGGACAUAUUGGAAUAGCUAGUACCCUGAACAUUGCAGAGGUGUUGAAUGUCAAUGGAUUGUGUUUCAUGUUUAUAUUCGUUCAGUUGAUCAAUUUGUCAAUCUAAUCAAACAUGUCUGUGACAAACAUGAAAGCGAUGGCUCCCUCUUACCUCGGGAGGGGAGCAGGGUAUAUUUAAGCCGAGACCACUGCUGUACAGUCCUCUCUCCUUUAUUUCCUCUCUAUCUCUCUCUGUCUCUCUCUUUUUCUCUCUCUCUGUCAUUUUUCAUUCACUUCUUUCUAGGAUGUGUAUAUCCUGUGUAGCAUCUCUAUGCUCAGUAAGGUCUUUAUGCACAGAACUAGACACUUGAUGAGACAGUACAGGACCCAAACCAAGGCCAGCUCCACCGACCGCUCAUACAAACACACACACACACACAAACACACACCCACACACACACACACACACACACACACAACUACUUCCUGCAUGUGUCGCAUGUCGAGCAAGUCAGUGGUUUGAAAUGGGCAUUCCAUAAAGCAGCAUUCAUGUAUUUGUGUGUGAAUUGCCCUGGAAUAAUACGAAGGUGUAAGUUAACAAAGCCCACCUUGCGUGCGGAAUUCAACACGGCGACUCCCUUCGUCCCUUAGGCUUUUCAACCCAAUCGUUUCUAGUAGUUUCUAGACCCGUGUCUCAAACCUGCACACAUCAUCUGCUUUUUCCAGCAUUCUGUAUAAUUUCUUUGUGGACCCUGUAUUUUGAGCUGUCCGUACCUUGUGUGUACAUCCCUAAAAUGUCCAGAACUUUUUUCCCCCUCCGUUUCCUCCCUUUUUCUUUCUUAUUUUUUUGGGGGGGGGAAAGACUCUUCUCUGUGUUCUUUUUAAGAGUCUGUUUGGGAAUUAGUGUCACUGACUUUGAGAAACAAUAUCUGUAAUGUGUAUACUCGUGCAAGACCAUUGAUGUACUUUUCAUCUACAUGUACAAUCUGCCUGCCUACACUAAAGAGACAUAUCUGUAUAUAUUAAUCAAUACUAUUUUUACUGCAUUUUUGUACAAAUAUUCAUGGUAGC
Long non-coding RNA from Clupea harengus (Atlantic herring), 2746 nucleotides. Lineage: Eukaryota; Metazoa; Chordata; Actinopteri; Clupeiformes; Clupeidae. The record is from Ensembl.